CCUACGGGUUGCACCAGUGGGAAUAUUGCACAAUGGGCGCAAGCCUGAUGCAGCCAUGCCGCGUGUAUGAAGAAGGCCUUCGGGUUGUAAAGUACUUUCAGCGGGGAGGAAGGCGAUAAGGUUAAUAACCUUGUCGAUUGACGUUACCCGCAGAAGAAGCACCGGCUAACUCCGUGCCAGCAGCCGCGGUAAUACGGAGGGUGCAAGCGUUAAUCGGAAUUACUGGGCGUAAAGCGCACGCAGGCGGUCUGUCAAGUCGGAUGUGAAAUCCCCGGGCUCAACCUCGGAAUUGCAUUUGAAACUGGCAGGCUAGAGUCUUGUAGAGGGGGGUAGAAUUUCAGGUGUAGCGGUGAAAUGCGUAGAGAUCUGAAGGAAUACCAGUGGCGAAGGCGGCCCCCUGGACAAAGACUGACGCUCAGAUGCGAAAGCGUGGGGAGCAAACAGGAUUAGAUACCCCUAGUAGUC
Molecule: ribosomal RNA, 465 nt
Filed under: uncultured bacterium
Lineage: Bacteria
Description: bacterial SSU rRNA
Rfam family: Bacterial small subunit ribosomal RNA
Source: RNAcentral